RNAcentral lists this long non-coding RNA (796 nucleotides) under Triticum aestivum (bread wheat). RNAcentral's name for it is "long non-coding RNA (TAES_LNC002072)". Lineage: Eukaryota; Viridiplantae; Streptophyta; Magnoliopsida; Poales; Poaceae. The record is from RNAcentral.
UCACUUCUACCACCUAGUGGUAACUACCUCCUAAGAAUCCACCGUCCAUCUUCCCUAAUUAGAUCCGAGCGUGGUUGCUUUUUUUCUCUCAGAUCGGUAGCGAAUCUUAACGGGUUAGGCUAGCUUCCACCCGACCCGUUUGAUUAUUAAUUAUUUUCAUUAGUUUAAUUGAUGGUUAUCCAAGGCGUGCUGAUCGCCCGAGCUUAUCCCAGAAAAUUUGAAUGCAUCUAUAUCUCUUCGUACGUACUUAUCCGGAUACUAACCAACUUAGCCAUCUUUUCUACGUAAAAAUAGUUGUGUUAGUAUAUUCUUGUUACGAACUAAAACAGUUCUUUUUGCUGGACCUCCCGUUCUGCCUGGGCGACACCUCCGUCAACGGCUGUAGACGGCGGAUCGGCGCUGUCGCCGUGGGUCACGCCGGCAGGACAGCACAUCCGGUGCAGUGAAACACGGCUGGCCGACGUAAUUCUUCAGUACCACAAACGUGAGGUAACUAAGUAUAAUCAAAUAUACUUUUCUUUAUUGUUUGUUAGUAUGAUUAGCGAGAUCAUAGGUUGAUCAACUUCCAUCUCAAAAAGAAUUCAUGUGGCCGAAACCGUAGAACUCACAGCAUCAUACUAACAUGCAACUGUUUCUUGGUCAUAGAUAUGGGCAAGCCGAGCGGCAGUGGCAGCAAAUCCAAUUCUGAUUCAAGCGAGCUAUCUCUGCAGUGCGCACUAAAAACCGAGAUCAAAUAUCCGGCCAAAAACGUUCAGGUGGAUCUCGCUCAAAGAAAAGGAGUUCCAUAAAGAGGAAA